This 253-nucleotide ribosomal RNA is filed under the name uncultured bacterium. Its description in RNAcentral is "partial 16S ribosomal RNA". It matches the Rfam family "Bacterial small subunit ribosomal RNA", at positions 524 to 776 of the family's 1533-position model. The record is from RNAcentral.
UACGUAGGUGGCAAGCGUUGUCCGGAAUUAUUGGGCGUAAAGCGCGCGCAGGCGGUCUUUUAAGUCUGAUGUGAAAGCCCACGGCUCAACCGUGGAGGGUCAUUGGAAACUGGGAGACUUGAGUGCAGAAGAGAAGAGUGGAAUUCCACGUGUAGCGGUGAAAUGCGUAGAGAUGUGGAGGAACACCAGUGGCGAAGGCGGCUCUUUGGUCUGUAACUGACGCUGAGGCGCGAAAGCGUGGGGAGCAAACAGG